GGCUUCUCAUUGAGCUCCUUUCUGUCCAUUGGUGGCAGUUGAGGUAUUUGCAUGAGAAGAAGAGAGAAUUCACAGAACUAGCAUUAUUUUACUUUCUGUCUUUACAGAGGUAUAUUUGGCUGUUUUGUGAGACAUUC
Small nucleolar RNA from Cercocebus atys (sooty mangabey), 137 nucleotides. Its record names the gene SNORA75. It matches the Rfam family "Small nucleolar RNA SNORA75". Rfam says of the family: U23 belongs to the H/ACA class of snoRNAs. snoRNAs bind a number of proteins (including dyskerin, Gar1p and Nop10p in the case of the H/ACA class) to form snoRNP complexes. This class are thought to guide the sites of modification of uridines to pseudouridines by forming direct base pairing interactions with substrate RNAs. The record is from Ensembl. Lineage: Eukaryota; Metazoa; Chordata; Mammalia; Primates; Cercopithecidae.